RNAcentral lists this non-coding RNA (28 nucleotides) under Mus musculus (house mouse). Lineage: Eukaryota; Metazoa; Chordata; Mammalia; Rodentia; Muridae. The record is from RNAcentral.
UCAAUCGUGCAACAGAAGUACAGGAAGA